AAGCUAUAUGGAUUCGUUCAUGGAACCCUUGAACUGAAAGGCUUUGAACAAACGGUACGGUACACGUUCGAGCUAUUUUACUGCGCUGCUCUUACUCUCUGUGUCUGUCUCGAAACAUGGGUGCGGAGAACAGAUCGAGCGGCGACAACGCCGGCAAGAGCAAGAAGAGAAGGCAGCGCUAUCUUCCCCACAACAAGCCAGUAAAGAAGAAGGGGGCGUACCCAUUACGCCCGGGAGUACAAGGGUUCUUCAUCACGUGCGAUGGAGGCCGGGAAAGCCAGGCAUCCCGUGAAGCCAUUAACGUUAUUGAUUCUUUUUAUGAAGAGCUACUCCACGGGAAAGAUUCAGAUGUGAAGCUUGCGGAGCUACCAAAUAAACCUCUAAAUAAGAAGAUUAAGUUCUCAGAUUCUGAAUCUUCUAGUAGCGAUGAUGAUGAAGAGGAGGAGGAGGAGGAGGAGGGGAAGGAGGAGGAGGACAAGAAUAAAUCAGAUAGUUGUCAGGAUGAUAUUGGCAGUCAUAAGGUCGCAACAAAUCAGGCUCCAGAUCCUCAUGCUAAAGAUGAUGUGCACCAUGGAAAUCUGACAGAAGAAAAACCUAAUGAUAUUGAAGGGAAUGGUAAGAAUCAUGAGAAUCAACCAAGAGAAACUGAGGAGCCACCAGCAAAGGAGAAUCAACCAAGAGAAACUAAGGAGCCACCAGCAAAGGAGAAUCAACCAAGAGAAACUGAGGAGCCACCAGCAAAGAAACAAUGUCUAGGAACAGGAGCAUUGAAAUGUGUGAUCCAUGAAAAAGUGGAGGAGAAGUCUAUUGAUAAACUAAUUGAGGCUGAACUCGAAGAAUUGGGAGAUAAGAGCAAGAGGCGCUUUUUCAAGCUUGAUUCGGGUUGUAAUGGUGUUGUCUUUAUUCAAAUGCGGAAGAGAGAUGGAGACCCUGGACCCACAAAUAUCGUGCAGCACAUGAUGACAUCUGCUGCAUCAACAAGAAAACAUAUGUCAAGGUUCAUCUUAAGAAUGUUACCUAUUGAAGUGGCAUGCUAUACUUCAGAGGAGGAAAUUUCAAGAGCAAUCAAACCUCUUGUGGAACAACAUUUUCCAGUGGAUACUCAAAACCCACAAAAGUUUGCAGUAAUGUUUGGAGCCCGUGCAAAUAGUGGCAUUGACAGGAUGAAGAUCAUAAAUGCAGUUGCAAAAUCUGUUCCUGGACCGCAUAAAGUUGAUCUUAACAAUCCUGAUAAAACCAUUAUAGUUGAAGUUGUCAAGUUAUGCUUGUAGAAGCUAUUAUACUAUUGUACCUCCUGGGCAUGAGGAUAAACUGCUUAGCCCGUCAAGGGUGAAAGCUCCUGGAUUACCUGGUAACUGGUUCUGGCAGGUGAGGUCAGUUACCCGUAGGAGUUUGAUUAACGACUGUGUGCUUGAUUGGAGUGGUCGACAAGUACAAGGAAUUUGCCAAGUACAACCUGAGGCAGCUUACAUCACCCAAGCCCUAGCAGCCAUGUCAAGUUUUGAUUUGUAAUGGGAGUUGUUGGCAUUUGAUAUGCUGCGUUAACAUAGUGUUUUG
Non-coding RNA from Corylus avellana, 1557 nucleotides. The record is from RefSeq and is a predicted model, not a curated record. Lineage: Eukaryota; Viridiplantae; Streptophyta; Magnoliopsida; Fagales; Betulaceae.